UCUAAAAUGGCAGAUUAGUGCCAUGGACUUAAGAUUCAUAAAUAAAGGUUUAAAUCCUUUUUUUAGAA
RNAcentral lists this transfer RNA (68 nucleotides) under Altiverruca navicula. RNAcentral's name for it is "tRNA-Leu". It matches the Rfam family "tRNA". From Rfam's summary of the family: Transfer RNA (tRNA) molecules are approximately 80 nucleotides in length. Their secondary structure includes four short double-helical elements and three loops (D, anti-codon, and T loops). Lineage: Eukaryota; Metazoa; Arthropoda; Thecostraca; Verrucomorpha; Verrucidae. The record is from RNAcentral.